AAGAGACAGCAGUAGCCGCGGUAAUACGGAGGGUGCAAGCGUUAAUCGGAAUUACUGGGCGUAAAGCGCACGCAGGCGGUCUGACAAGUCAGAUGUGAAAUCCCCGGGCUUAACCUGGGAACUGCAUUUGAAACUGUCAGGCUGGAGUCUUGUAGAGGGGGGUGGAAUUCCAGGUGUAGCGGUGAAAUGCGUAGAGAUCUGGAGGAAUACCGGUGGCGAAGGCGGCCCCCUGGACAAAGACUGACGCUCAGGUGCGAAAGCGUGGGGAGCAAACAGGAUUAGAGACCCCAGUAGUCCCUGUCUCUUAUAC
This 310-nucleotide ribosomal RNA is filed under the name uncultured bacterium. RNAcentral describes it as "partial 16S ribosomal RNA". It matches the Rfam family "Bacterial small subunit ribosomal RNA", at positions 503 to 807 of the family's 1533-position model. The record is from RNAcentral.